UGGGACAAUGGGGGCAACCUGCAUCCAGCCAUGCCGCGUGUGUGAAGAAGGCCUUCGGGUUGUAAAGCACUUUUGUUGGGGAAGAAACCGGCCGGGUUAAUACCCUGGUUGAAUGACGGUACCCAAAGAAUAAGCACCGGCUAACUUCGUGCCAGCAGCCGCGGUAAUACGAAGGGUGCAAGCGUUACUCGGAAUUACUGGGCGUAAAGCGUGCGUAGGCGGUUUGUUAAGUCUGCUGUGAAAGCCCUGGGCUCAACCUGGGAACUGCAGUGGAUACUGGCGAGCUAGAGUGUGUCAGAGGAUGGUGGAAUUCCCGGUGUAGCGGUGAAAUGCGUAGAGAUCGGGAGGAACACCAGUGGCGAAGGCGGCCAUCUGGGACAACACUGACGCUGAGGCACGAAAGCGUGGGGGAGCAAACAGGAUUAGAUACCCUGGUAGUCCACGCCCUAAACGAUGCGAACUGGACGUUGGGCACACUUAGGUGCUCAGUGUCGAAGCUAACGCGUUAAGUUCGCCGCCUGGGGAGUACG
Molecule: ribosomal RNA, 530 nt
Filed under: uncultured bacterium
Lineage: Bacteria
Description: bacterial SSU rRNA
Rfam family: Bacterial small subunit ribosomal RNA
Source: RNAcentral